This 426-nucleotide ribosomal RNA is filed under the name uncultured bacterium. Its description in RNAcentral is "bacterial SSU rRNA". It matches the Rfam family "Bacterial small subunit ribosomal RNA", at positions 917 to 1344 of the family's 1533-position model. The record is from RNAcentral.
GGGCCCGCACAAGCGGUGGAGCAUGUGGUUAAUUCGAUGCAACGCGAAGAACCUUACCUGGUCUUGACAUACACAGAAUCUUGUAGAGAUACGAGAGUGCCUUCGGGAAUUGUGAUACAGGUGCUGCAUGGCUGUCGUCAGCUCGUGUCGUGAGAUGUUGGGUUAAGUCCCGCAACGAGCGCAACCCUUGUCCUUAGUUGCCAGCAUUAGGUUGGGCACUCUAAGGAGACUGCCGGUGACAAACCGGAGGAAGGCGGGGACGACGUCAAGUCAUCAUGGCCCCUUACGACCAGGGCUACACACGUGCUACAAUGGUAGGUACAGAGGGCAGCUACACAGCGAUGUGAUGCGAAUCUCAAAAAGCCUAUCGUAGUCCAGAUUGGAGUCUGCAACUCGACUCCAUGAAGUAGGAAUCGCUAGUAAUCG